Podarcis lilfordi (Lilford's wall lizard) is the source of this 74-nucleotide non-coding RNA. Lineage: Eukaryota; Metazoa; Chordata; Lepidosauria; Squamata; Lacertidae. The record is from the annotation of a GenBank genome assembly.
UCAUGAAAGCUCAGGUGGUAGAGCAUGGGACAUUUGAUCUUAUGGUUGUGGGUUCGAGUCCCACAUUGGGUGAA